GUUGGAACAGCAUUCUCACAACUUGUUAACAAGCUUGCUACAAGCCUGUUGAAGAGAUAUUCUGUUGACAAGUUGUUGGAACAACAGUUGUAGUACAAUGUGUGUGGUACACACGUAAACCCGCACAAGUUGUCACAGAAAAAACGCGCAAAUUGUUCCAGAUCUACAAACAAGUUGUAACAAGGUUGUUGUGAAGCCGAUAUCAGGAUGUGUUCGCACUGCUUGUUCCCAGUUGUUGUGACAAGUCUGGAACAAGUUGUUAUCAUCUUGUUACAAGGUUGAUGACGGUAACAGACUUGCUACAAGUUGUUCCAACAAGACUAAUACAGGCUGUUCGUAACAAGUUGCCACGAGCUUGUUGUCAUCAACUUGUUAGCAACUUGUUACGUGCAGACGAUAUCAGACUUGUUGGAACAACUUGUUGCGAGUCUGUUGGCCUCAUCAACCUUGUUACAAGAUGAUAACAACUUGUUCCAGACUUGUCAACAACUGGGAACAAGCAGUGCGAACACAUCUUGUUGACAAGUUGUGAGAUUU
Non-coding RNA from Paramuricea clavata, 537 nucleotides. Lineage: Eukaryota; Metazoa; Cnidaria; Anthozoa; Malacalcyonacea; Plexauridae. The record is from the annotation of a GenBank genome assembly.